AAAGCUCAAAUUUGAAAUCUGGCAGCCUCAGGUUGUCCGAGUUGUAAUCUAUAGAAACGUUUUCCGCGCCGGCCCAUGUACAAGUCCCUUGGAACAGGGCGUCAUAGAGGGUGAGAAUCCCGUCCUUGACACGGACCACCGGUGCUUUGUGAUACGUUUUCAACGAGUCGAGUUGUUUGGGAAUGCAGCUCAAAAUGGGUGGUAAAUUCCAUCUAAAGCUAAAUAUUGGCGAGAGACCGAUAGCGAACAAGUACCGUGAGGGAAAGAUGAAAAGCACUUUGGAAAGAGAGUUAAACAGUAUGUGAAAUUGUUGAAAGGGAAACGAUUGAAGUCAGUCGUGUCUAUUGGACUCAGCCGGUUCUGCCGGUGUACUUCCUUUAGAUGGGGUCAACAUCAGUUUUGAUCGCUGGAAAAGGGCGGGAGGAAUGUAGCACUCUCGGGUGAACUUAUAGCCUUCCGUCGUAUACAGUGGUUGGGACUGAGGAACGCAGCAUGCCUUUAUGGCCGGGGUUCGCCCACGUACAUGCUUAGGAUGUUGACAUAAUGGCUUUAAACGACCCGUCUUGA
This 567-nucleotide ribosomal RNA is filed under the name Solicoccozyma aeria. RNAcentral's name for it is "LSU rRNA". It matches the Rfam family "Eukaryotic large subunit ribosomal RNA", at positions 104 to 657 of the family's 3401-position model. Lineage: Eukaryota; Fungi; Basidiomycota; Tremellomycetes; Filobasidiales; Piskurozymaceae. The record is from RNAcentral.